AUACGGAGGGCGCAAGCGUUGUUCGGAAUUACUGGGCGUAAAGCGCGUGUAGGCGGUUCGGCAAGUCGGGUGUGAAAGCCCAGGGCUCAACCCUGGAAUUGCAUUCGAAACUGCCGGGCUAGAGUCCCGGAGAGGAAGGCAGAAUUCCCAGUGUAGGGGUGAAAUCCGUAGAUAUUGGGAGGAAUACCAGCGGCGAAGGCGGCCUUCUGGACGGUGACUGACGCUGAGACGCGAAAGCGUGGGGAGCAAACAGGAUUAGAAACCCCAGUAGUCC
RNAcentral lists this ribosomal RNA (274 nucleotides) under uncultured bacterium. RNAcentral describes it as "partial 16S ribosomal RNA". It matches the Rfam family "Bacterial small subunit ribosomal RNA", at positions 523 to 796 of the family's 1533-position model. The record is from RNAcentral.